AUCUACUAAAUUAGUGAAUUAAUAAAAUUCUCUUUAAAACCUGCAAACACCUUACAAAACCUUCCCUUCCUUAGUUCCUUGUAAGUAAACAUUCAACACCUCCAUGGACUAUAGACUUGAGCCAUAAGUUCAACUCCAGCCUCCAUGUCCACUCUUCAAUAAAAUGCAUUGAAGCUCGAUUGCGGGAUGAUAACCAAACAGAUUUAGUUUCAAACCAGUGACUCUUGGCCUUAACUUAUUCUAUACAUUAUAUGGGAGGCAAGUAAACUACCGUUUUGGCCUAGAGUCUAAACACCACCUUUUUACGAAAUAAAUAAAAAUCCUAACGUUUGGCUACAUACAAAAAAUGCAUCAAAACAGUAGGCUGGUUACCAUGUUAACUACACAAGUUGCAAUGUAUAUGUAAUAUGAAGCGCCAUCGAUAUCAAGUCUGACUACCAUCAAUUAUUCAAGAGAAGAUGCUCUACAAUAUGAUAUGAGAUAUAAAAACACCCACAAUGAUAACCAAUACUUGCCAAUCCCAAAUAAGUGUUACGGUCAUUUAUAAUUUUGUUUAAAAUAUAAAAAGUACUAGCUAAUACGGCUUUGCACAAACCCAUAAUAUAUAACUAGAUCUAAACAUUUUGCUAUUACAACAGUCGCUGAACAAAAGGGGUGACUAGACUUUCCAGAAUUGCAAGUCUCAAAAAGUCUAGACAACAACCAAAAUCCUUGAGCUUCAUUUCAAGCCUUGGUAGCAAUGUUGUUGGACAGCCACUCCAGCCCCUCAUAAAGACCCUCUCCAGAUGUCGCACACGUGCUCUGGAUGUACCAGUGGCGUUGACGGAGAGAAUGAAGCCCAAGCUUGUCAGUUAUUUCUGCAGCAUUCAUGGCAUUGGGAAGAUCUUGUUUGUUAGCAAAAACAAGCAAGACAGCAUCUCUCAGUUCAUCCUCAUUCAGCAUUCUAUGCAACUCAUCCCUUGCCUCAACAAUUCGAUCUCUGUCGUUACUAUCCACCACAAAAAUAAGACCCUGAGUGUUCUGGAAGUAAUGCCUCCACAGAGGGCGAAUCUUGUCUUGACCACCAACAUCCCAAACAGUG
RNAcentral lists this unclassified non-coding RNA (1081 nucleotides) under Hevea brasiliensis (rubber tree). Lineage: Eukaryota; Viridiplantae; Streptophyta; Magnoliopsida; Malpighiales; Euphorbiaceae. The record is from RNAcentral.